CGUAUUCAUUCACAUGUUCAUCUGCUCAGGCAUUCAUUGAAUAUUUAUUGUCUAAAUUAUGUACAGUGUAGACACAGAUGCCAAAGGAAGAAGAGUUUGGCUGUCACCAUCACUGUGGCUUGUGUGACAGGCCCUGAAGUGGAGAGUUGCUGCAGGGGCUGCUGUGGGAUUGGUAAACCCAGGUUGGAGAGGACCAGAAUCGCCCCUGGAGGAAACAAGCACCUUCAGUCCUCCAAGUGCUAUUGGGUCCCAGUGACUUGCAGAACAACACACGCCCACUGAGCCAGGCAUUAUAUUGGACUUGAGAAACUCCUGAGUCUCUGGAAUGAUUUACUGAGUGUUGAAAUUUCUAGAACUCCCAAGCCUGUUCAGGAUGAGAUCUGGAGGGAGUAAGAGCUAUAUGAAUCAAACAGCACAACUCCUGGAGCCCUAUCGAGAGAUACCUCCUGAAUUCCUGAGUUUAUUUUAGCAUAUUCUAAAUCAUUUAGGGAGCCCAAGUCCAUGAGAUGCCUCAGCAAAUAAGGGCAUUUGCCAACAAACCUG
This 543-nucleotide long non-coding RNA is filed under the name Cricetulus griseus (Chinese hamster). RNAcentral describes it as "lncRNA (ENSCGRG00015031684.1)". The record is from RNAcentral. Lineage: Eukaryota; Metazoa; Chordata; Mammalia; Rodentia; Cricetidae.